GAUCAUGGCUCAGGAUGAACGCUAGCUACAGGCUUAACACAUGCAAGUCGAGGGGCAUCAGGAAGAAAGCUUGCUUUCUUUGCUGGCGACCGGCGCACGGGUGAGUAACACGUAUCCAACCUGCCCUUUACUCGGGGAUAGCCUUUCGAAAGAAAGAUUAAUACCCGAUGGCAUAAUGAUUCCGCAUGGUUUCAUUAUUAAAGGAUUCCGGUAAAGGAAUGGAGGAUGAGUUCCAGUUACGGUUGUUGG
RNAcentral lists this ribosomal RNA (249 nucleotides) under uncultured bacterium. RNAcentral describes it as "partial 16S ribosomal RNA". It matches the Rfam family "Bacterial small subunit ribosomal RNA", at positions 15 to 252 of the family's 1533-position model. The record is from RNAcentral.